CAUAAGACCAAACCACAACCCAAGGAGAAUAAAAAGCCCACCAGAUCUAUUACUAUGUUUAUUUUAGAAGAAAUAUAGCAGCAAGAUAUUCUUUACAAGAAAGAGCAGACUAAAGGGAAUUAGUGUGGCUCUCAUGGGGCCCCACCUGAGGAGCUCCUGGUUUAGAAGAGAAUGAGGAGUUCCUGCAAGUCUUCUGAGGAGAAUACUGCCCACCCCUCAGAUGAGGAAGAAGGUCCCUGUGGAGGUAGAAGAAUACAGAAUGUAAUGUAGGUCUGGAAUUGCAGAAACUUGCACUGGAGGACUACUCUUUUUCUGUAAAAAAUGCAAGAACUGUUCCAAAUUGUGACAUGUAGAAAUACUGGAAAAGAAUUGGAAGUAGCUUUCACCUGAUCUGCGUUCUUGUCUGCCACACUUGUAUAUGCUGUUUAGGCAGCUGUACCAAAUAGCGCAUUGAAAGUCUUUUGCCUGUGAAAAAUAAACCUACAUUUUA
This is a non-coding RNA of Anas platyrhynchos (mallard), 490 nucleotides long. The record is from RefSeq and is a predicted model, not a curated record. Lineage: Eukaryota; Metazoa; Chordata; Aves; Anseriformes; Anatidae.